AGUACAUGUACCUAAAUUUCAAUAUAUUUUUGUUUCAGAGUGCUUAAGGAGCAUCCUUAACAUUUUGAGAGAAAAAUGAAGAUUUUGUUGAAGGGGGAAAUGUGUUUGGUACAUUACUCACAUGUUUGCCUGAAGAAGCUGCUGUUCCUUUGGAAACAUGUCUUACUUGUUUUCUGAUAUGAUAAAUGGGAGUGAGAAAAUUGUUUUGAAACACCAGCAAAAAAGACUAGAUUGUCAUUCAGUCCUAACCCCAUACAGUGUCUCUGCAGAUGAAGAUAGAUCAGGCCAAUCCAGAAACAAGAAAAGGGACAAUUUUUAGCACGUUCAUCUAUGGAGACAUGUAUCUAAAAAAGCAGAUUUUUUUUCAGUUUUAGUAGAACUUGUCGAACUUUUACUAUUUUUAAACUGUUUAUUUUACAUUUAUAUGUUGAUAUUUUGUUUUUUAAAAUUGCUGUAUUUCUUUCAUCUUGCUAUUCAGUCCCACAUAACAAAAUCUGCUGAAAUUAUUAUUUCCAUAUUUUAUAGAAGUGUCCUUUUGCAUUGUUGAUAGCAGUAAAUAUAUUUUGUCUUAAGUUAGGUUUUAAAAACAUUCACAUCCCAACUCCAAAUAAAAUACAUUUUUAUGAAUGUUACAUGUAAAUAGACAUGAAAGAUAGAAUUGUAUAUGGAAAAAAUGUAUCACGUGAACAUAUUGAAUAUUAUCAAAAGCACUGCUGACAUAAAAUAAAUUUAUUGUAUGUAGUAGACAGUCCUACAGAUCAGUGUAUUUUUACCUGAAGACAUUUUAUAUAUUUUUAUAACCAGAAAUAGUGUGAGUGUAGAAUAAAUUUAUUCUUUGUCUCAACCUUAACGUAAUUACUGUACUUUCAUAAUAA
This is a long non-coding RNA of Mytilus californianus (California mussel), 875 nucleotides long. RefSeq lists it as uncharacterized. Lineage: Eukaryota; Metazoa; Mollusca; Bivalvia; Mytilida; Mytilidae. The record is from RefSeq and is a predicted model, not a curated record. The transcript is spliced from 3 exons.